Small nucleolar RNA from Procavia capensis (Cape rock hyrax), 32 nucleotides. Lineage: Eukaryota; Metazoa; Chordata; Mammalia; Hyracoidea; Procaviidae. The record is from Ensembl.
CAUCAAGGAUGAUAUGAUGACAACUUUGAUGA